AAUAAUUUGUUAUAGUGUUUAAGUUCUUCAUCUUUAAUUGAAGUCAUAUACUGUACUUGCUUAUGCUUUUGGAUGAAUUGAUAAGUAAUUACUAAGAUUUAGUAUUAUUAAAUUAGUAUUUUUAAUGAACUAUCUGUAAUGUUGUCCAAGUUAACACCCCUAGUCUCUCUCUCUCUCUCUUUUUCUUAUCUUUUCUAUUCGAUCUAAUGCAUUUCUAUCAUUGUAUAUACAUGAUUUAACUUCUAUUAUGUCAUUCUAACCACUUCAUUAGGGUGAGAAGAUUCAUGCAAGUGUGAAGAGCAUAUUGAUUUAUAAGUUUAAGCCCUUGCUGAUUGAAGGCAAUGUAUAUGUGCUGGAUC
RNAcentral lists this long non-coding RNA (359 nucleotides) under Elaeis guineensis (African oil palm). Its description in RNAcentral is "long non-coding RNA (EGUI_LNC028669)". The record is from RNAcentral. Lineage: Eukaryota; Viridiplantae; Streptophyta; Magnoliopsida; Arecales; Arecaceae.